AUUGAACGCUGGCGGCAGGCCUAACACAUGCAAGUCGAACGGUAACAGGAAGAAGCUUGCUUCUUCGCUGACGAGUGGCGGACGGGUGAGUAAUGUCUGGGAAACUGCCUGAUGGAGGGGGAUAACUACUGGAAACGGUAGCUAAUACCGCAUAACGUCGCAAGACCAAAGAGGGGGACCUUCGGGCCUCUUGCCAUCGGAUGUGCCCAGAUGGGAUUAGCUAGUAGGUGGGGUAACGGCUCACCUAGGCGACGAUCCCUAGCUGGUCUGAGAGGAUGACCAGCCACACUGGAACUGAGACACGGUCCAGACUCCUACGGGAGGCAGCAGUGGGGAAUAUUGCACAAUGGGCGCAAGCCUGAUGCAGCCAUGCCGCGUGUAUGAAGAAGGCCUUCGGGUUGUAAAGUACUUUCAGCGGGGAGGAAGGGAGUAAAGUUAAUACCUUUGCUCAUUGACGUUACCCGCAGAAGAAGCACCGGCUAACUCCGUGCCAGCAGCCGCGGUAAUACGGAGGGUGCAAGCGUUAAUCGGAAUUACUGGGCGUAAAGCGCACGCAGGCGGUUUGUUAAGUCAGAUGUGAAAUCCCCGGGCUCAACCUGGGAACUGCAUCUGAUACUGGCAAGCUUGAGUCUCGUAGAGGGGGGUAGAAUUCCAGGUGUAGCGGUGAAAUGCGUAGAGAUCUGGAGGAAUACCGGUGGCGAAGGCGGCCCC
Molecule: ribosomal RNA, 711 nt
Filed under: Shigella sp.
Lineage: Bacteria; Pseudomonadati; Pseudomonadota; Gammaproteobacteria; Enterobacterales; Enterobacteriaceae
Description: bacterial SSU rRNA
Rfam family: Bacterial small subunit ribosomal RNA
Source: RNAcentral